Molecule: ribosomal RNA, 250 nt
Filed under: uncultured bacterium
Lineage: Bacteria
Description: partial 16S ribosomal RNA
Rfam family: Bacterial small subunit ribosomal RNA
Source: RNAcentral
UACGAAGGGGACUAGCGUUGUUCGGAUUUACUGGGCGUAAAGCGCGCGUAGGCGGAUCACUAAGUCAGGGGUGAAAUCCCGAGGCUUAACCUCGGAACUGCCUUUGAUACUGAUGAUCUGGAGAUUGGGAGAGGUUGGUGGAAUUCCGAGUGUAGAGGUGAAAUUCGUAGAUAUUCGGAGGAACACCAGAAGCGAAGGCGGCCAACUGGCCCAAUACUGACGCUGAGGCGCGAAAGCGUGGGGAGCAAAC